This 646-nucleotide long non-coding RNA is filed under the name Astyanax mexicanus (Mexican tetra). Its description in RNAcentral is "lncRNA (ENSAMXG00005006170.1)". The record is from RNAcentral. Lineage: Eukaryota; Metazoa; Chordata; Actinopteri; Characiformes; Acestrorhamphidae.
AGCCAUUUGAAGCACUAAAUCCAGAAUGAUGGAAGCAACUCUUAGUGUUCAUGUUAUGUACUUUAUCUCAGGUACUCUGGUGGUGCCCACUGAAGCAGAUCUGGCCGGUGUGACGGAAGCGCCCGUGGAAGCUAACAAUGCUACUGAGCCAGCAAAGGUGGAGGACGUGACGAAAGUUCCAGAGAAACCUGUGACUGAAGCAACAGCAGCACCAUUUACUGAAGCUCCUGUAGUGGAAACAGAGGAACCUGCACCUGAGACAGAAGCUACAGCAGCGCCCACAGCAGCAGAGCAGGAGGAGUCGUUCACCACACAAGCUGCUGAAGUUGAACCUGCUGCUACUGAGCCUACUGAGGUGACCAGCGUGGACGAGGCAAAGACAAAAGGGCCAGCGGUACCUGGAGAGGUAGAAGCAGAUCAGGCUGAAGAAACAGAGGUGGAGCUGGAGGAAUCAGGUCACGUGGUGGGCAUUGUGAUUGGUGCGUUGGUUGCCGUGGUCAUCAUCAUUGCAGUGAUCGUAGUGAUCGUCAGGAGGAUGGGCCAAUACUCUCCCUGAGAAGGAAGGCAGCGCGACAGGAAGAGAAGAAGAAAAAGUUCUGGAAAGUCUGAACUACUGAACUGAUGUCACUUCCUGUAAUUAAACAAA